AUUGAACGCUGGCGGCAGGCCUAACACAUGCAAGUCGAGCGGUAGAGAGAAGCUUGCUUCUCUUGAGAGCGGCGGACGGGUGAGUAAUGCCUAGGAAUCUGCCUGGUAGUGGGGGAUAACGUUCGGAAACGGACGCUAAUACCGCAUACGUCCUACGGGAGAAAGCAGGGGACCUUCGGGCCUUGCGCUAUCAGAUGAGCCUAGGUCGGAUUAGCUAGUUGGUGAGGUAAUGGCUCACAAGGCGACGAUCCGUAACUGGUCUGAGAGGAUGAUCAGUCACACUGGAACUGAGACACGGUCCAGACUCCGACGGGAGGCAGCAGUGGGGAAUAUUGGACAAUGGGCGAAAGCCUGAUCCAGCCAUGCCGCGUGUGUGAAGAAGGUCUUCGGAUUGUAAAGCACUUUAAGUUGGGAGGAAGGGUUGUAGAUUAAUACUCUGCAAUUUUGACGUUACCGACAGAAUAAGCACCGGCUAACUCUGUGCCAGCCGCCGCGGUAA
RNAcentral lists this ribosomal RNA (499 nucleotides) under uncultured bacterium. Its description in RNAcentral is "partial 16S ribosomal RNA". It matches the Rfam family "Bacterial small subunit ribosomal RNA", at positions 30 to 523 of the family's 1533-position model. The record is from RNAcentral.